RNAcentral lists this ribosomal RNA (498 nucleotides) under uncultured bacterium. Its description in RNAcentral is "partial 16S ribosomal RNA". It matches the Rfam family "Bacterial small subunit ribosomal RNA", at positions 30 to 523 of the family's 1533-position model. The record is from RNAcentral.
AUUGAACGCUGGCGGCAUGCCUUACACAUGCAAGUCGAACGGUAACAGGUCUUCGGAUGCUGACGAGUGGCGAACGGGUGGGUAAUACAUCGGAACGUGCCUAGUAGCGGGAGAUAACUACUCGAAAGAGUGGCUAAUACCGCAUGAGAUCUACGGAUGAAAGCAGGGGAUCGCAAGACCUUGUGCUACUAGAGCGGCCGAUGGCAGAUUAGGUAGUUGGUGGGAUAAAAGCUUACCAAGCCGACGAUCUGUAGCUGGUCUGAGAGGACGAUCAGCCACACGAGGACGGAGACACGGCCCAGACUCCUACGGGAGGCAGCAGUGGGGAAUUUUGGACAAUGGGCGCAAGCCUGAUCCAGCAAUGCCGCGUGCAGGAUGAAGGCCUUCGGGUUGUAACCUGCUUUUGUACGGAACGAAAAGCCCCGGGUUAAUACCCUGGGGUCAUGACGGUACCGUAAGAAUAAGCACCGGCUAACUACGUGCCAGCAGCCGCCGUAA